This 1160-nucleotide long non-coding RNA is filed under the name Junco hyemalis (dark-eyed junco). RNAcentral describes it as "lncRNA (ENSJHYG00000001841.1)". Lineage: Eukaryota; Metazoa; Chordata; Aves; Passeriformes; Passerellidae. The record is from RNAcentral.
CACACAGCAUAUACCACAGCUUUUUCUAGUUUAAGACUAAUCUCUUCAGGGUUUUCUCUUGUUCUAAAUCUGUUCAGGCUGACUUCUGCUCCACAGAGAGAGCCAUAAACAAGGCAAUGAAGCAGAGCGUCUAAGAAAUUAAAAGAGAAAUACAAAGGGGGAGAAAAAAAAAAAAAAAUAAUAAUAAAAAGAAGCCGUGAGCCAGGAGUAAACCCAUUUGCUCUCAUCUCCUCCGCAAGGUGGCUGUGCUGCUCCCCGGACACAGCGGGGUGCUCAGGUUUGUUUUUCCCAAACCCGUUGCUCCUGGGAAGCUGCAGAAACAUUCCCAAAGCGUUCUUCUCUGAAAACUAUCCCGCUGCAGCCCCAAACUUUGGCUUCCACAGGAGGAAGCGUUUCACCUGCAGCGCACCCCGCUGCCGCUGCACCCCGCAACAACGCUGGGCAGGGAAAGGGGUGCGGGACACACACGGAAUUGCCACCCCAGCACAGCACAGCCAGGCUCCCCUGGCUGCAAAACAUGAGGCUUUGGGGGGCCUCUCUCCCCUCGCAGCGUGGUCGCGAUGAUCGGGAAUAAACCCCCCCUUCGCCGCCUGUCACUCCGUGGCACGGCACCGCUGCAGCCCGCAAACAGCCCCCAGCCCUGGCCGGUGCCCCGGCGGGAUGGAAUUCCAUCUGCCGGCAGCAGGGACACAGCCCCGGCCCCGCCGAGCCGCGGAGGCACCGCCGGCGGGACGCGGCCCCCGCGCCCACAUCAACCCUUACCUGAACUCCUCUGCGAGCCGGGGGGCAGCAAAGGCCACGGGCGACCAGAAGAACGCAACAACAACAACGAAAACGAGAUUUCCUGGGAAGGUGCAGCCUGGGAUAUCAGAAUGCAGUCCUGUGACAACACAUCUGUGCACCCUUUUGUGAGGGCACAUGGGACAGCACACCCUUCCUGCUCCCCACAGCAGGCCUCACUGUCCUGCAGGGGAAAUGAAGUAUUAUUCUCAUUUUAUGGGGAAACAGAGGCACAGAGGCUCAAACAAAAGGUCUGUGGCAGAACCAAGAUGCAAUCUCAUCUCUUUUCAAAUCCAGCUCAAUUUAAACUCGCAAAAAUAUCCUCCAUCUGCAUUUCUUCAGAAUUGCCAGUAACACAUCCCACAGCCUGGCAAACAUAA